AUACGUAGGGGGCAAGCGUUGUCCGGAUUCACUGGGCGUAAAGCGCGCGCAGGCGGUGAUGUAAGUCUGAGGUGAAAACCCGAAGCUCAACUUCGGGACUGCCUUGGAUACUGCGUCACUUGAGGAUAGGAGAGGCAAGGGGAAUUCCACGUGUAGUGGUGAAAUGCGUAGAGAUGUGGAGGAACGCCUGUGGCGAAGGCGCCUUGCUGGCCUAUUUCUGACGCUGAGGCGCGAAAGCGUGGGGAGC
This 247-nucleotide ribosomal RNA is filed under the name uncultured bacterium. RNAcentral's name for it is "partial 16S ribosomal RNA". It matches the Rfam family "Bacterial small subunit ribosomal RNA", at positions 523 to 769 of the family's 1533-position model. The record is from RNAcentral.